GAUUCCCUUAGUAACGGCGAGCGAAAAGGGAACUGUCCAGCGCCAAGUCUUGACACCCAGGUGCUCAAGAGAUGCGGCGUUAAUGUGUUGGCGCCUCGUGUUCCGACCGGUCUCUCAAGUUCGCUUGACAGCGACAUCCAGAGCGGGUGCUAGGCCCAUAGAGAGCCUGGUCCGGUCCACGCCGGCCAACGCAUUCUAGAGUCAGGUUGCUUGAGAGUGCAGCUUAAAGUCGGUGGUAAACUCCAUCCAAGACUAAAUAUGACAGCGAGACCGAUAGCAAACAAGUACCGUGAGGGAAAGUUGCAAAGCACUUUGAAGAGAGAGUUCAACAGUACGUGAAACCACUGGCAGGCAAACAGAUGGAACCACGAAUGUGCGCCCUGGUCGAUUCAAUCAUCGUUGCGGGUGAGCUAGGCCGAGCGAGGGUCUCUCCGGAGGCUGGUUCGGCCGGGUUGCGACCCGUGGCGSUGGUGCAUUUCGUGCCAGGGAUGCUAAGCCACGUUCGACUAGAGCUGGAACGGCCGUAGGAUGGGAUCUGGGAAAGGUGGCCGACACGUGCUUGCGCGCGUCGGUGUUACAGGCCCGGGUCGGAACCGUUGCCAAGCAGACUGGUCGAUGCAAGUGCUCCCUCGGGAGUGAGACUGUCGCUGCCCGUCRCAGCUAGUUCGUGCUUCGCCGUGUUCUUGCAGUGCUUCGCUGUGCGACAAGACAUGGCAACAGCGCGGGCUAGUUGUGGCCUGCGUGCGGCAGUAGAACUGUGGUGCGAGUAGGUCGGUGUCCAUCUGACCCGUCUUGAAACACGGACCAAGGAGCCUAUCAUAUACGCGAGUCGCUCGGUCUUGACUAGGCCCGGGAGGCGAAAUGAAAGUAACGGCUAUGAGGCCUCGGUCGCAAUAGCGGUACGCCUACUUCGUUUAUCGGCGAUCAGGCGUAAUCGGAGCGUAUACGAUGGUACCCGAAAGAUGGUGAACUAUGCCUGGGCAAGACGAAGCCAGAGGAAACUCUGGUGGAGGUCUGUAGCGAUUCUGACGUGCAAAUCGAUCGUCAGACCUGGGUAUAGGGGCGAAAGACUAAUCGAACCAUCUAGUAGCUGGUUCCCUCCGAAGUUUCCCUCAGGAUAGCAGGCGCUCAGAAUGUCCAGUGUCAUCCGGUAAAGCUAAUGAUUAGAGGUCUUGGGGUUGAAACGACCUCAACCUAUUCUCAAACUUUAAAUGGGUGAGAUGGUUGACUUUCUUGAUUUGAAGCCAACCAGUUGCAUGUGAGUGCCUAGUGGGCCAUUUUUGGUAAGCAGAACUGGCGCUGUGGGAUGAACCAAACGUCGAGAUAAGGAAUCGAAUGCGUACGCUCAUCAGACCCCAUGAAAGGUGUUGGUUGCUAUAGACAGCAGGACGGUGGCCAUGGAAGUCGGAAUCC
RNAcentral lists this ribosomal RNA (1413 nucleotides) under Pteronyssus aff. centurus AD634. RNAcentral's name for it is "eukaryotic LSU rRNA". It matches the Rfam family "Eukaryotic large subunit ribosomal RNA", at positions 73 to 1269 of the family's 3401-position model. Lineage: Eukaryota; Metazoa; Arthropoda; Arachnida; Sarcoptiformes; Pteronyssidae. The record is from RNAcentral.